AGCGAACGCUGGCGGCAGGCUUAACACAUGCAAGUCGAGCGGGCAUCCUUGUGGUGUCAGCGGCAGACGGGUGAGUAACGCGUGGGAACGUGCCCUUCGGUUCGGAAUAACUCAGGGAAACUUGAGCUAAUACCGGAUACGUGCGAGAGCAGAAAGGUUUAUCUGCCGAAGGAUCGGCCCGCGUCUGAUUAGCUAGUUGGUGAGGUUAUGGCUCACCAAGGCGACGAUCAGUAGCUGGUCUGAGAGGAUGAUCAGCCACACUGGGACUGUGACACGGCCCAGACUCCUACGGGAGGCAGCAGUGGGGAAUAUUGGACAAUGGGGGCAACCCUGAUCCAGCCAUGCCGCGUGAGUGAUGACGGCCUUAGGGUUGUAAAGCUCUUUUCUUCGGGACGAUAAUGACGGUACCGGAGGAAUAAGCCCCGGCUAACUUCGUG
RNAcentral lists this ribosomal RNA (437 nucleotides) under uncultured bacterium. RNAcentral's name for it is "partial 16S ribosomal RNA". It matches the Rfam family "Bacterial small subunit ribosomal RNA", at positions 29 to 507 of the family's 1533-position model. The record is from RNAcentral.